UACGUAUGGAGCAAGCGUUAUCCGGAUUUACUGGGUGUAAAGGGAGUGUAGGUGGCCAGGCAAGUCAGAAGUGAAAGUCCGGGGCUCAACCCCGGGACUGCUUUUGAAACUGCAGGGCUAGAGUGCAGGAGGGGCAAGUGGAAUUCCUAGUGUAGCGGUGAAAUGCGUAGAUAUUAGGAGGAACACCAGUGGCGAAGGCGGCUUGCUGGACUGUAACUGACACUGAGGCUCGAAAGCGUGGGGAGCAAACAGG
RNAcentral lists this ribosomal RNA (253 nucleotides) under [Lactobacillus] rogosae. RNAcentral describes it as "Lactobacillus rogosae partial 16S ribosomal RNA". It matches the Rfam family "Bacterial small subunit ribosomal RNA", at positions 524 to 776 of the family's 1533-position model. Lineage: Bacteria; Bacillati; Bacillota; Clostridia; Lachnospirales; Lachnospiraceae. The record is from RNAcentral.